Long non-coding RNA from Rhipicephalus sanguineus (brown dog tick), 177 nucleotides. RefSeq lists it as uncharacterized. Lineage: Eukaryota; Metazoa; Arthropoda; Arachnida; Ixodida; Ixodidae. The transcript has 3 exons. The record is from RefSeq and is a predicted model, not a curated record.
ACGGUAAUCGCUGGAGUGUGCGAAGAAGGAGAAUGCAAGAAAAAGAAUGUGACUCGUUACAAGCUGCCAGGUGCGCGGCCCACUGUGGUCGACCCCUAUUAUCGCCACUGCAAGGUGAACAAGACUCAAAUAAACAGGAAGCUCAAAGUCGUUAUAGGGUGUAUCGCGAGUUGUCAC